GGAUGACACUUUUCGGAGCGUAAACUCCUUUUCUUGGGAAAGAAUUAUGACGGUACCCAAGGAAUAAGCACCGGCUAACUCCGUGCCAGCAGCCGCGGUAAUACGGAGGGUGCAAGCGUUACUCGGAAUCACUGGGCGUAAAGGACGCGUAGGCGGAUUAUCAAGUCUCUUGUGAAAUCUAACGGCUUAACCGUUAAACUGCUUGGGAAACUGAUAAUCUAGAGUAAGGGAGAGGCAGAUGGAAUUCUUGGUGUAGGGGUAAAAUCCGUAGAGAUCAAGAAGAAUACCCAUUGCGAAAGCGAUCUGCUGGAACUUAACUGACGCUAAUGCGUGAAAGCGUGGGGAGCAAACAGGAUUAGAUACCCUGGUAGUCCACGCCCUAAACGAUGUAUACUAGUUGUUGCUUCGCUAGUCGAGGCAGUAAUGCACCUAACGGAUUAAGUAUACCGCCUGGGGAGUACGGUCGCAAGAUUAAAACUCAAAGGAAUAGACGGGGACCCGCACAAGCGGUGGAGCAUGUGGUUUAAUUCGAAGAUACGCGAAGAACCUUACCCGGACUUGAUAUCUAACAAAUCAUCCAGAGAUGGAAGAGUGUCUGCUUGCAGAAAUGUUAAGACAGGUGCUGCACGGCUGUCGUCAGCUCGUGUCGUGAGAUGUUGGGUUAAGUCCCGCAACGAGCGCAACCCACGUCAUUAGUUGCUAACGGUUCGGCCGAGCACUCUAAUGAGACUGCCUUCGCAAGGAGGAGGAAGGUGUGGACGACGUCAAGUCAUCAUGGCCCUUAUGUCCGGGGCGACACACGUGCUACAAUG
This 812-nucleotide ribosomal RNA is filed under the name uncultured Campylobacter sp. Its description in RNAcentral is "bacterial SSU rRNA". It matches the Rfam family "Bacterial small subunit ribosomal RNA", at positions 406 to 1232 of the family's 1533-position model. The record is from RNAcentral. Lineage: Bacteria; Pseudomonadati; Campylobacterota; Epsilonproteobacteria; Campylobacterales; Campylobacteraceae.